CACUGAAAUACCAUGAAUUUUGAUCCCUCCAUUUCAAACCAUUUCAGCUACGGAAAAGCUGCCGUUAAACAAGUUGAAAUUAAGUUGUAACAGAUGCGGAAUACCACCAUGGAUUUCCAGACAGAACCGUAGCCAAUGGGGUUCAGAAAGUUUUUUCAACAGGUCAAGCAAGUGGAACAUUUGCAAGUAUCGAUUUCCAUAAUCAAUUUGGAAACUUGGACGCCAAAUAAUUAGAAAUUUUUUGUUAGAACCCGUUUAAGAUUUCCAAGAAGCCAAUCCUGCAUUUAAAAAAUCUUUAAUUACAUAACUCAAAUCCCUCACGUUCACAGAUUCCUUCCUUAUUGCUGAAGCAUAGUUCACUCGGCAAGGUAUUAAUAAAUGUAAUAUUGGACAGGUUUCUGUUGUUGGAUGAAUAUUUCAAUGGAAAAAAAUAUCUAUAAUAAAAUAUAUAUAAUAAGUUUUUG
Long non-coding RNA from Dendroctonus ponderosae (mountain pine beetle), 464 nucleotides. RefSeq lists it as uncharacterized. The transcript is spliced from 3 exons. The record is from RefSeq and is a predicted model, not a curated record. NCBI's taxonomy places the organism in Eukaryota, Metazoa, Arthropoda, Insecta, Coleoptera, Curculionidae.